This is an RNA transcript of Prinia subflava (tawny-flanked prinia), 4892 nucleotides long. RefSeq lists it as uncharacterized. The transcript is spliced from 2 exons. NCBI's taxonomy places the organism in Eukaryota, Metazoa, Chordata, Aves, Passeriformes, Cisticolidae. The record is from RefSeq and is a predicted model, not a curated record.
UGGAGUGUUUUUGAACGAGAAGCACAGAAUACUUCUCCUGUCUGUAUUUACACUGAUUCCUGUGCUGUGUUCAAGGGAUGCACUGAGUGGCUUCCUUUCUGGCAACAGAAUGAUUGGGAAGUUAACAGGGUUCCAGUGUGGCAAAAGGAAAAGUGGCAAGAAAUUCUAAAUAUUGCAAGCCAAGGAGACUUUGCCAUUGGGUGGGUGCCAGCUCAUCAGGGAGAUGAGAACCCUGCAGGAGAGUGGAAUAACAAAGCUGAUGAGCUAGCAAGACUGAGUCCCCUGAAAAAUAACCAGAUAGCUGAAGACGGGGAACACCUGUUAGAAUGGCUGCAUGUGAAAAGGCAGCACACUGGUAUAAAAGAUUUAUACCAAGGAGCCCUUGCUCGCGGCUGGCCAGUCACCAGAGAAAUGUGUAAAACAUGCAUAUCAGCCUGCAGCCAGUGUCGCAAACGAUUAGAAAGACACCCCCUGGAAGAUGACCCCCUGCACCUAAGAACAGGUAAAGGCUUAUGGGAUGCUUGGCAGGUAGACUACAUCGGUCCCUUUAAGAGGUCAGGAGGUAAACACUAUGUGUUAGUAGGAGUAGAAAUAAUAUCUGGAUUAGCUCAGGCUAAUGCAUUCAAAAUAGCUACAGGAUGUAGUCUGGAACUCAAUCUUGGGGCUGGAGACAGAGCAAUGCAAGUCCAAUCAAUGUGAUUAAUAAUAUACGUUCUCUUUAUUCACGAGAUGGCUGGUUAUAUACAGUAAGAAUAGUUUACAGUAACAGGUGCAUUUCUAUUGGCAGUGAAGUGUGGACAAAUAUGUAAACAAUCACAGUUUAAGGCAGCUACCAUGUCUCCACCUUAACUAUCCCAGCUAAAGCAUGUUCACACCUUAAGUGAUUUUCUAACUGCACCACAGGUUUAUCUACUUCUAGGCAGGCCAGAAUGUGAGGCCUAGUUUGGGAUAGCUCAACCUUUAUUCUAUAAGUCAUCCUGCUACAACAGGAGACAACACUGUCACAGCACUACAGGAGUGGUUUGGAACCUUUCCCAAACCACAAGAGAUCCAAUCUGAUAAUGGGUCUCAUUUUACAGCUAAAGUGGUGCAAGACUGGGCAAAAAGUGAAGGUAUCAAAUGGGUUUUUCACACCCCCUACUAUCCCCAGGCAAAAGGAAUCGUAGAAAGGACAAAUGGUCUCUUAAAACGAUUUCUAAAACCACAUGAGGGAAACUGGGAUGUUCGGUUGUGGGAGGCGGUGAAAAGUGUCAAUGACAGAUGGGGGAUAAAUGGGUGCCCCAAAAUCACUGCUUUCUUCCUGAAAGCCCCAAGCCUAAUCCCCUCAUUAUGGGGACCAGAUGAUUCCAAAAAUCCAGCUCAUUACCCUGGACAACCAGUUCUAGUGAAUCUCCCUGCUGUUGGAGAUGUACCACUAGUGCUGAAAACUCCUCUGAAUAAAUUUGUGUGGGUUGCAUCUGAUGCCCUGGGGAAGGAGCAUUGCAUAAACACACGCUGGAUAGUCCCUUCAUUUUAACUAUUCUGCCCCUUAGUGGCAGAUUUUUGUUGUGUUUACUUUUAACAGAUGGCUGAAAGAAGAUGAUAAGGAUCAUGCUAAAGCUAGUGAUUCUUCUCUGCGCCCUUCCACAACUCCGUGGCCAAGAACCAGCUGAGUGGCCAUGGACCGAAGCUACCUACAGACACACCACCACCAUGGGGUCCUACUCCAGCCUCGGAGGACGUCGCCUGACUCUGGCAGUGGUGGUACUGCAUAACUCCGAACUGUAUCGGCCGAGUGAAUGGAGGUGGGAUAGAAACGCUCACUCACACGCUUUGAGUGGAACUGUAGGUGAAAAGAUCCAGGCGUCAUGCAGAAAGGUAGAAGGGUCUCUCUACGAAAAAGCUUCCUCAGUUACAGUUGCUGGAAAAUUCCUAGAGCUAGGUGGGAUGAAAGCUUUACACCCCCAACUCACAGCAGAACUUUGUUCCACAACUAAAUGGAAAUGCAUUAAACAAAUUCCCCUUAGAAUAUGCUGCCGUCACACACAGGCUCCCAAGACUGACAAUGUAGUAAUUACAAAAGAAUGCAAAACUGAACCUGCUGACUGUUGGUAUAAUUUUACCCUAACCCAAACAAUUGAUAUAUCAUGUAGUUGGUUCAAUAACUCGGCAAACCAGUUAGGUCUGAGAGGCUUAGCUCAUAAAUUUAGAAUAAAUGUUAUGGCUAAGCCCAUACUGAGUACAGCAGCCCCAUUUGUUAUAGAAGUAACAGAAAGUACACCCAUUACAUCCCAAAUCGUAGAAAUAACUCAGAGCGCUCCUAUCACAUCCCAAAUAGUAGAAAUAGUAGAAAGCACUCCUAGCCAUUCUACCACACCACAAAUAGUACACACAAUCACACCACAAAAGGUAGCAACCACAUCGCAAAGGACAGAGGGAACUAGCAGUACCCUCAACCAUUCUGUCACUUCCAGCUCCCAAAACCUACUUAACAUCGAAUGGCCAUGGUCCCAAGCUUUUACUCGCUUUACUGGGUCCAUGGGAAAUGUGAAAGGUUUGAACCUGUUAACUGUUGUUAUGCAUGAUAAUCAAGUGUACACUGGGUGGGAAUGGGAACACCGAGAUAGGAUUUGGCAACUACAAGGGAUGAUAAGAAAAAGAAUUAGUGUAGGCUGUUGGAUGAUUAAUGGAACUGCCCAACACAAAGCAAUUCAAAUCACUGUUUCAACAGACCAGGCAAAGUAUGACAGGGUUUGCACGUCCCCUAGAGUACAGGAUUGUUGGUAUGAUUUUAUUUUAACACAGACUGUAGAAGUAGUCUGUCUUUGGGCCGAUGAUGAUGAAGGGCUUUCUUUAAAGUUUAAAAUAAAUGCUGUAGCUCAACCUGUUACUGUUAGCACUAGCACUCAAGCACAACCACCAGUUGUACUAAGCCCAAAAAUCUUUAAAAUUGGACCAUAUAUAAUCAGGAAAACUGGCCAACAACAAUUAUUGUUUAAUCCGAUAUGGUCUCUCAAACAAGUUAAACUAUUGGUGCAAACUAAUGUCACUGAAAUUCAGCCUGCUUGUUCACCUUUCUUGCAAACUUCUUUUGAAGGAGGGACGACAUGGUUGUGAAGGCACAGCCCCCCUGAAAGACGCGUGCCAAGAGAUGUUACCGGUGCCGUAGGAACAGGAUUGGGAAUCUUGAACAGCAUUGACUCAGAGCUCCAGUUACAUCUUAUCAGCUUCUACAAUCUAACUACACACUGAUCCACAAGCUAUGGCCUACUCCGAUUGGGAUGAACCCCACUUUAACAAAGCAAUUCUUGCUUCACCAAGAUUUAAUUAGGAUUUUAAAGAAAAUUAAGAAAAAUGGACAAAAGAUUGAUAACUGUCCAUCACAAUGUGGAAGAAAUCCAUCGUGUUCUGGAAAGGGUAAGAAAGGAUGUCGAGCACAGGUGGAUGGAUACUCUCUUUGGGUGGUCGCCCACAGCUACGAGUGUCCUGAAUAAAUUGUCUCAUCCAAUCGUUGUUCUUUUGAUUUUAAUUUUGAUUGGUUUUGUUUUAUCAGAAAUCUCAUUCUUUUUGAAUUGGAGAGUGAUGAAACAGUUGAAACGGUUAAAAUCUGUGAUGUAUGCACACAAUUUAGUGUACAUACCCCCUCCAAUAGAUAUACUUAGAAACAAUACAUAUACUUAGAGAUGUUGACACAAGAUAAACUUUAUAAGUAGGCCAUAGCCGUGGACUGUGAAAUGGAUUUUGCCUAAGUAAGAUGAAGAAAUCUUAGAUACAUAUUUUUAAGCUAAUUAUGUAUUUUUGAUUUUGUGUGAUUUGCUAUGUUCACUUUUAAAAUUUGUUCAUUAUUUGAAAAUUGUUUUAAUUGUUAUCAUAAUCUUUUUAUUUGAAAAAAUUGUUUUAAGACUUUUGCCUUGAAUAUUUGGAAAUUGUUUUAAUUAAUAUUAUUAUGAUCGUUUUGAAUUAAUAUUGUUAAGAUUGUCUUGAUUAUUUGACUUUGUGAAUCAUUUAUCAUUAUAAUUUGCCUAAUAAUUUUAUUAAUCAAUAUUGACUAUUAUUUGGAUUUGUUUUAAGAUUUUAAUAUCAUUGUGAUUUGUCUUAUCAUUGUGAUUUGUUUUGAGAUUUUAAUAAUCAAUAUUAUUCAUUGUUAUACAUCUCUUGUUUUUUCCCUUCUUCUCUCUCUAUUUCUUUUAUUCUCUCUCUCCCUCUCUCAUCUUUGUUUUCCGGGAUAUACUGCUGACAACGAGUCCUGAAGACUUCAGAACAACGCAACAAACUCAGCUGGUGGAGCUCUCUUGUCGACAACCAUGAGUCACAGGGUGGUGUAAUAGUCGGUCCAAAGGCCCCUCAUCUGCCUCACAAAUGUCAGAGGCUGAGACCCCCACAGACCCUGGUCCGCAGCACAGGAAUUCUGGCCUGACCGAGGCGGGACCCAAGUUUCUCCCUGCAGGUGCACCCGUUGGACCAAAACGCCCUCCCCAGAGACCCGUGCAUGAACAAUGGGGGGCUGCUAUGGUUCCUGGGCUGUGUUUGCGGAGGAGUGUUUACUGUUUCUGUACCAACUGUACUUGCUGUGAAGGACUGGGCACACCGCUCCCUCCAUUGUGAGGAAACACCUGCAACCUUCUCUCCCUUUCUGGCAUGAUGCCCUUUGCCUCGAAAAAGAACUAUAACAAUCACCCCCAGAGAAGAGACACUUUGAAGCCUCCCCGGCGGACAAGACGGGUCUAUUGGCACACACCACGAGGACUGCGAAGGUGGUCGUGGUUUCCAGCAUCACGAGGACUCGUGUCUGUUUAGUCGGUAGCUAUAACCCCCCCUUUUCCUCUUUUCUCUCUCUCUCUCUUUCUCUCCCUUCUCUUCUAUCGCAUAAUUGUGUGUAUCAAUAAAGAUACAAUUGAUUCUAUUUGAACUAA